GAUUGUGCAGUGUUGAUCUCAGCAACAAAUAAUCAAACAGUUUCAACUGUUAUUUUAAUUCUCCAGAAAUAGUUAAAUUUGAUUCAACCUAACACACACACAUAUAUAUUGAAUAAUAAAUUUGCUUCAUAUGUUGAAUCACUCUGCACUUAAAGAACUAGAGGCUAGAAAAGCUAACAAAAUAAUAAAUCAUCAAGUUCUAUGAUGAAAGAUAG
This 215-nucleotide unclassified non-coding RNA is filed under the name Hevea brasiliensis (rubber tree). The record is from RNAcentral. Lineage: Eukaryota; Viridiplantae; Streptophyta; Magnoliopsida; Malpighiales; Euphorbiaceae.